AAGAUUUUAAGUUAAGUUAAACUAUUAACCUUCAAAGUUAAAAAUAAAGUUUAUUUUUAAGUCUUA
RNAcentral lists this transfer RNA (66 nucleotides) under Convexana sp. 1 JW-2022a. Its description in RNAcentral is "tRNA-Trp". Lineage: Eukaryota; Metazoa; Arthropoda; Insecta; Hemiptera; Cicadellidae. The record is from RNAcentral.